Molecule: ribosomal RNA, 1000 nt
Filed under: uncultured Fusobacterium sp.
Lineage: Bacteria; Fusobacteriati; Fusobacteriota; Fusobacteriia; Fusobacteriales; Fusobacteriaceae
Description: bacterial SSU rRNA
Rfam family: Bacterial small subunit ribosomal RNA (bases 1-828)
Source: RNAcentral
GAUGAACGCUGACAGAAUGCUUAACACAUGCAAGUCGACUCGAGUCUUCGGACUUGGGUGGCGCACGGGUGAGUAACGCGUAAAGAACUUGCCUCUUAGACCGGGACAACAUCUGGAAACGGAUGCUAAUACCGGAUAUUAUGGUUUUUUCGCAUGGAGGAAUCAUGAAAGCUAGAUGCGCUAAGAGAGAGCUUUGCGUCCCAUUAGCUGGUUGGUGAGGUAACGGCCCACCAAGGCAAUGAUGGGUAGCCGGCCUGAGAGGGUGAACGGCCACAAGGGGACUGAGACACGGCCCUUACUCCUACGGGAGGCAGCAGUGGGGAAUAUUGGACAAUGGACCGCAAGUCUGAUCCAGCAAUUCUGUGUGCACGAUGACGUUUUUCGGAAUGUAAAGUGCUUUCAGUCGGGAAGAAGUCAGUGACGGUACCGACAGAAGAAGCGACGGCUAAAUACGUGCCAGCAGCCGCGGUAAUACGUAUGUCGCAAGCGUUAUCCGGAUUUAUUGGGCGUAAAGCGCGUCUAGGCGGCAAGGAAAGUCUGAUGUGAAAAUGCGGAGCUCAACUCCGUAUGGCGUUGGAAACUGCCUUACUAGAGUACUGGAGAGGUAGGCGGAACUACUAGUGUAGAGGUGAAAUUCUUAGAUAUUUGUAGGAUUGCCGAUGGGGAAUCCAGCCUACUGGACUGAUCUUGACGCUAAAGCUCUAAAUGCGUGGUGUAUCAACAGUAUGUAAUACCUUGGUGUCCAAGGGUGGAAUUCCACAUGUGUUUUUGUCUUUAUCGAUAUCUUGAACUUCGAUGGGGGGAACACAGGACCUGAUGUUUGGUGCCCUUUAUUGAUGGUGAUUUAAUGCCCUCCCCGCUGUAUUCUAUCAAUAAUGAUAGACUGAUGUGUGUAUUGUAUUUAUUUAUGUAUAUGUGUGAUGAUGUAUGAUUUUUUUGUGUGUACUGUACUGCUGUUGAUGAUGUGUGUGUAUUUGUUUUGUGUUAUGUAGAUAUUUAC